This 523-nucleotide long non-coding RNA is filed under the name Phaseolus vulgaris (common bean). RNAcentral's name for it is "long non-coding RNA (PVUL_LNC002360)". Lineage: Eukaryota; Viridiplantae; Streptophyta; Magnoliopsida; Fabales; Fabaceae. The record is from RNAcentral.
AUGCCUCUGGGCAUGAAUUUGGAGCAAUCUGCUUUUCUAAGCCACCAUGAUUCCAGAAACUUAGUUGACGACGUUGUUAAUGUUGAUCCCAGCGUUCACAAUAAUCACCACCACCACCACCACCACCACCACCAUCAACACCUCACUCUCCACAAUAACAACUCAUCACCCUCUUCUACUGCACCAAUCACCGUAUGCACCCAUCACCUUUACCAUCCUACAUCUUCUCAUAACAAUACUAGUGCGCAUGCAGAUUAGAGACUGGUUUUAUUUAUUUUAUUCUCUUAUUGUUUGUUAAUUUUUGUGAGUCGUGCAGGAUCGCGAUUCGAUGCAUGUGAGAGGUUUGUUUUCAGCGUUUGGACAGUUGCACAGUCCUACGCUUGUUCCCUCUGUCCGCCCCACGCUGUCAUCGCCGCCGCCUCCUCAGCCCCAGCUCCACCUCCACCACCACCAUAACCAACAGGUAACAUUAUUAUUAAUUAUUAUUAUACCUUAAUAAUAAUAAUAAUUCCAUCCCUCACCC